Molecule: ribosomal RNA, 545 nt
Filed under: uncultured soil bacterium
Lineage: Bacteria
Description: bacterial SSU rRNA
Rfam family: Bacterial small subunit ribosomal RNA
Source: RNAcentral
GCUGGCGGCAUGCCUAACACAUGCAAGUCGAACGGUAACAGGCCCGCAAGGGUGCUGACGAGUGGCGGACGGGUGAGGAAUACAUCGGAAUCUGCCCGGUUGUGGGGGAUAACGUAGGGAAACUUACGCUAAUACCGCAUACGACCGAGAGGUGAAAGCGUGGGAUCCGCAAGGACCUCGCGCAGCCGGAUGAGCCGAUGUCGGAUUAGCUAGUUGGCGGGGUAAAGGCCCACCAAGGCGACGAUCCGUAGCUGGUCUGAGAGGAUGAUCAGCCACACUGGGACUGAGACACGGCCCAGACUCCUACGGGAGGCAGCAGUGGGGAAUAUUGGACAAUGGGGGCAACCCUGAUCCAGCAAUGCCGCGUGUGUGAAGAAGGCCUUCGGGUUGUAAAGCACUUUUAUCCGGAACGAAACGUGUUGGGUGAAUAGCCCGGCAAACUGACGGUACCGGAGGAAUAAGCACCGGCUAACUUCGUGCCAGCAGCCGCGGUAAUACGAAGGGUGCAAGCGUUACUCGGAAUUACUGGGCGUAAAGCGUGCGUA